UAAGUAAUAAAAUAAACUAUGAUGGUUUUUUAUAUUGAUAACUCAACUGCCCCUAAGUUGAUCAUACACUCUUAAAUAAAGGCAACUAGGUACCAUGACCUACUAGCUACAUCAAGUAGUCCACAAUGGGAUUGUGGUUGAAUUCCUGACUUUGCUACGUCAUCACCGUCAUCUUGAAUUCUACAUACACGAACCCUCAUAAUAUGGGGCAUUUCAACCCAAAUUAGAAAAUGUAAAGAGUCACCUGCCGAAAUUAACAUAUAGCAUUUAACCAGUAUGCUAUGUUAUUUGGUGAUAAAUAAAGCAUGUAUAUAUCUUCAUAUAACAAAAAUGACUCGUGUUACAAAGCACCCUAAUGCAAAGCUUAUAUGUGAGUGUGCACAUAAUUACGUAAUUUCAAACCAUCUUUGAUAAGCAUAAAUCAUAAAAGUAUAGCCUCAACGCAAACUAGUAUUAUUUAACUAGGUG
Molecule: long non-coding RNA, 468 nt
Filed under: Cicer arietinum (chickpea)
Lineage: Eukaryota; Viridiplantae; Streptophyta; Magnoliopsida; Fabales; Fabaceae
Description: long non-coding RNA (CARI_LNC000238)
Source: RNAcentral